RNAcentral lists this ribosomal RNA (433 nucleotides) under uncultured bacterium. Its description in RNAcentral is "partial 16S ribosomal RNA". It matches the Rfam family "Bacterial small subunit ribosomal RNA", at positions 29 to 507 of the family's 1533-position model. The record is from RNAcentral.
AACGAACGCUGGCGGCAUGCCUAACACAUGCAAGUCGAACGAGACCUUCGGGUCUAGUGGCGCACGGGUGCGUAACGCGUGGGAACCUGCCCUUAGGUUCGGAAUAACUCCCCGAAAGGGGUGCUAAUACCGGAUAAUGUCUUCGGACCAAAGAUUUAUCGCCUUUGGAUGGGCCCGCGUUGGAUUAGCUAGUUGGUAGGGUAAAAGCCUACCAAGGCGACGAUCCAUAGCUGGUCUGAGAGGAUGAUCAGCCACACUGGGACUGAGACACGGCCCAGACUCCUACGGGAGGCAGCAGUGGGGAGUAUUGUACAAGGGGCGAAAGCCUGAUCCAGCAAUGCCGCGUGAGUGAUGAAGGCCUUAGGGUUGUAAAGCUCUUUUACCCGGGAUGAUAAUGACAGUACCGGGAGAAUAAGCUCCGGCUAACUCCGUG